AUACGUAGGGGGCGAGCGUUGUCCGGAAUGAUUGGGCGUAAAGGGCGCGUAGGCGGCCCGGUAAGUCUGGAGUGAAAGUCCUGUUUUUAAGAUGGGAAUUGCUUUGGAUACUGUCGGGCUUGAGUGCAGGAGAGGUAAGUGGAAUUCCCAGUGUAGCGGUGAAAUGCGUAGAGAUUGGGAGGAACACCAGUGGCGAAGGCGACUUACUGGACUGUAACUGACGCUGAGGCGCGAAAGUGUGGGGAGCAAACAGGAUUAGAUACCCUGGUAGUCCACACUGUAAACGAUGAAUGCUAGGUGUAGGGGGUAUCGACCCCUUCUGUGCCGCAGUCAACACAAUAAGCAU
Molecule: ribosomal RNA, 346 nt
Filed under: uncultured bacterium
Lineage: Bacteria
Description: partial 16S ribosomal RNA
Rfam family: Bacterial small subunit ribosomal RNA
Source: RNAcentral